CCUACGGGAGGCAGCAGUGGGGAAUAUUGCACAAUGGGGGAAACCCUGAUGCAGCGACGCCGCGUGAGUGAAGAAGUAAUUCGUUAUGUAAAGCUCUAUCAGCAGGGACGAAAAUGACGGUACCUGAGUAAGAAGCCCCGGCUAACUACGUGCCAGCAGCCGCGGUAAGACGUAGGGGGCAAGCGUUAUCCGGAUUUACUGGGUGUAAAGGGAGCGUAGACGGCAGUGCAAGUCUGGAGUGAAGGGCGGGGGCUCAACCCCCGGACUGCUCUGGAAACUGUACGGCUGGAGUGCAGGAGAGGUAAGUGGAAUUCCUGGUGUAGCGGUGAAAUGCGUAGAUAUUAGGAGGAACACCAGUGGCGAAGGCGGCUUACUGGAAUGUAACUGACGUUGAGGCUCGAAAGCGUGGGGAGCAAACAGGAUUAGAUACCCUAGUAGUC
RNAcentral lists this ribosomal RNA (440 nucleotides) under uncultured bacterium. RNAcentral describes it as "partial 16S ribosomal RNA". It matches the Rfam family "Bacterial small subunit ribosomal RNA", at positions 338 to 795 of the family's 1533-position model. The record is from RNAcentral.